This 74-nucleotide small RNA is filed under the name Escherichia coli. RNAcentral describes it as "isrK". It matches the Rfam family "isrK Hfq binding RNA". RNAcentral also lists the same sequence under 18 other names. Lineage: Bacteria; Pseudomonadati; Pseudomonadota; Gammaproteobacteria; Enterobacterales; Enterobacteriaceae. The record is from RNAcentral.
ACGGUCGAGUUGACCGUCGGGAUUCGAACCCCGGAUAGAAACCGCGACAGAGACACGCCGCGAGCGUGUUUUUU